GCGGGCGGGGCGCUCUCUUGGGAUCCUCGCGCGCGUUCCUACGGCUAGGGACCGGUGCUGACGGGGAGUAGCCACGGUGUCAAUGCGGUGCCCCGCGAUGUGGUGACCCGAACUGUGCGACAGAGAAAAAUCCUACUGAAUUUAGAUGUGCGGCCGAAGACCACUGGGGCUUGCCGGAAUGCCAGGGCGAGGAGAAGGGAGGGAGAGAUGGAGCGAAACAUCCAUGUAGUGAGUUGCCAGGGACAGAAUCUACGUAUGGGACAUUGCUGCAAUGCACACCAGCCAGGACCGGAUAAGGCUCAUCAUAGAGGGCAAGAUGGAUCUUGAGCACACCAUGUGCUGGCCUCCCUGUGAAGCCAAGACCUCUCUGUGGUUCCUGGGUGACCUUGAAGCCGACAUGGCCAGCCAAGUCAUGCAGGAAGAGCAACACUUGAGUGCUGCAUUCGACAUCCUAUGUAAUCUAUGAUCACCCAGGGAAGGGCUGGAGAAGGCUGACUCCUCAACUUGAAGUGUCUGAGACCAAGAUUGAUGCCUUCAAGGUGAAGUAUCCAGGUAACCUGGAUGAAUGGCUGAGGCAUUUGCUAAGAGCCUGGAACAGCAAGGGGAAGGACACCCAGGGACUGGCAGUUGAACCUGGUGGCAGACCUCAUGGGAGAUCAGCCCAGGCCCUCCAGGGCAAACAUGAGAAGUGUUAGCUGCACUGUGUGCCUGGUAUUAUGGAACUGAGCACGUACCUCUGGAGCUCCUGGUGAUCCAU
Molecule: long non-coding RNA, 757 nt
Organism: Phyllostomus hastatus (greater spear-nosed bat)
Lineage: Eukaryota; Metazoa; Chordata; Mammalia; Chiroptera; Phyllostomidae
Exons: 3
Source: RefSeq, a predicted model, not a curated record